CCUUGACAUACUAAGAACUUUCCAGAGAUGGAUUGGUGCCUUCGGGAGCUUAGAUACAGGUGCUGCAUGGCUGUCGUCAGCUCGUGUCGUGAGAUGUUGGGUUAAGUCCCGCAACGAGCGCAACCCUUUUCCUUAUUUGCCAGCGGGUCAUGCCGGGAACUUUAAGGAUACUGCCAGUGACAAACUGGAGGAAGGCGGGGACGACGUCAAGUCAUCAUGGCCCUUACGGCCAGGGCUACACACGUGCUACAAUGGUCGGUACAAAGGGUUGCUACCUCGCGAGAGGAUGCUAAUCUCAAAAAGCCGAUCGUAGUCCGGAUCGCAGUCUGCAACUCGACUGCGUGAAGUCGGAAUCGCUAGUAAUCGCGGAUCAGAAUGCCGCGGUGAAUACGUUCCCGGGCCUUGUACACACCGCCCGUCACACCAUGGGAGUUUGUUGCACCAGAAGUAGGUAGUCUAACCGCAAGGAGGACGCUUACCACGGUGUGGCCGAUGACUGGGGUGAAGUCGUAACAAGGUAAGCGUAGAUGA
This 531-nucleotide ribosomal RNA is filed under the name uncultured bacterium. RNAcentral describes it as "bacterial SSU rRNA". It matches the Rfam family "Bacterial small subunit ribosomal RNA", at positions 979 to 1509 of the family's 1533-position model. The record is from RNAcentral.